This 117-nucleotide non-coding RNA is filed under the name Gorilla gorilla gorilla (western lowland gorilla). Lineage: Eukaryota; Metazoa; Chordata; Mammalia; Primates; Hominidae. The record is from Rfam by way of RNAcentral.
GCUGGGCAUGGUGGCUCAUGCCUGUAAUCCCAGCACUUUGGGAGGCUGAGGUGGGCGGAUCACCUGAGGUCAGGAGUUCGAGACCAGCCUGGCCAACAUAGUGAAACCCCAUCUCUA